UGCAGUCNANGGAACUUUUCGGAGUUCAGUGGCGGACGGGUGAGUAAUGCGUGAGAAUCUGGCUUCAGGUUCGGGACAACCAUUGGAAACGAUGGCUAAUACCGAAUGUGCCGCAGGGUGAAAGAUUAAUCGCCUGAAGAUGAGCUCGCGUCUGAUUAGCUAGUUGGUGGGGUAAGAGCCUACCAAGGCGACGAUCAGUAACUGGUCUGAGAGGAUGACCAGUCACACUGGGACUGAGACACGGCCCAGACUCCUACGGGAGGCAGCAGUGGGGAAUUUUCCGCAAUGGGCGAAAGCCUGACGGAGCAAUACCGCGUGAGGGAGGAAGGCUCUAGGGUUGUAAACCUCUUUUCUCAGGGAAGAACAAAAUGACGGUACCUGAGGAAUAAGCAUCGGCUAACUCCGUGCCAGCAGCCGCGGUAAUACGGAGGAUGCAAGCGUUAUCCGGAUUUAUUGGGCGUAAAGCGUCCGCAGGUGGCAGUUCAAGUCUGCUGUUAAAGGUCGGGGCUCAACCCUGAACAGGCAGUGGAAACUGAACAGCUAGAGUACGGUAGGGGCAGAGGGAAUUCCCAGUGUAGCGGUGAAAUGCGUAGAGAUUGGGAAGAACACCGGUGGCGAAAGCGCUCUGCUAGGCCGAAACUGACACUCAUGGACGAAAGCUAGGGGAGCGAAUGGGAUUAGAUACCCCAGUAGUCCUAGCCGUAAACGAUGGAUACUNNCGUUGUGAGUAUCGACCCUCACAGUGUCGUAGCUAACGCGGUAAGUAUCCCGCCUGGGGAGUACGCGCGCAAGCGUGAAACUCAAAGGAUUGACGG
RNAcentral lists this ribosomal RNA (815 nucleotides) under uncultured bacterium. Its description in RNAcentral is "bacterial SSU rRNA". It matches the Rfam family "Bacterial small subunit ribosomal RNA", at positions 56 to 916 of the family's 1533-position model. The record is from RNAcentral.